This 253-nucleotide ribosomal RNA is filed under the name uncultured bacterium. RNAcentral describes it as "partial 16S ribosomal RNA". It matches the Rfam family "Bacterial small subunit ribosomal RNA", at positions 524 to 776 of the family's 1533-position model. The record is from RNAcentral.
UACGGAGGGUGCAAGCGUUGUCCGGAUUCAUUGGGUUUAAAGGGUGCGUAGGCGGAGAAUUAAGUCAGUGGUGAAAGCUCGCAGCUUAACUGUGAAAAUGCCAUUGAAACUGAUUUUCUUGAGUUCGAUUGAGGUAGAUGGAAUGUAUCAUGUAGCGGUGAAAUGCUUAGAUAUGAUACAGAACACCAAUUGCGAAGGCAGUCUACUAAGUCGAUACUGACGCUGAGGCACGAAAGCAUGGGGAGCAAACAGG